UUACAAGUGUCUUAGAAAACCGCCUCGGUAAAACGAGGAGGAAGGUGGGGAGUGACGUCUGGUCCGCAUAGCCCUUAUGUCCUGGGCUACACACGCGCUACAAUGGCCGAUACAGUAGGAAGCCAAAUCGUAAGAUGGAGCUAAUCCUUAAAGUCGGUCUCAGUUCGGAUUGAGGUCUGAAAUUCGACCUCAUGAAGUUGGAUUUGCUAGUAAUCGUAGAUCAGCAAUGCUACGGUGAAUACGUUCUCCGGGUCUU
This 256-nucleotide ribosomal RNA is filed under the name uncultured Thermovirga sp. RNAcentral describes it as "partial 16S ribosomal RNA". It matches the Rfam family "Bacterial small subunit ribosomal RNA", at positions 1125 to 1382 of the family's 1533-position model. Lineage: Bacteria; Thermotogati; Synergistota; Synergistia; Synergistales; Thermovirgaceae. The record is from RNAcentral.